UCACAGAGGUAGGUUUAACCACAUCACAAGU
RNAcentral lists this non-coding RNA (31 nucleotides) under Homo sapiens (human). Lineage: Eukaryota; Metazoa; Chordata; Mammalia; Primates; Hominidae. The record is from RNAcentral.